RNAcentral lists this long non-coding RNA (1486 nucleotides) under Heterocephalus glaber (naked mole-rat). RNAcentral's name for it is "lncRNA (ENSHGLG00100045667.1)". The record is from RNAcentral. Lineage: Eukaryota; Metazoa; Chordata; Mammalia; Rodentia; Bathyergidae.
GUUUUCUAAAAGCUCUCCAGCCUCAUCACUCUGGCCAACCUUCCUCCCUUGGGAUCAGCAAAUGCAGGAGCAGAGGGGAUUCGCUCAGAGGAGAACAUCUACACCAUCGAGGAGAACGUCUACCCCAUCGAGGAGAACGUCUACACCAUCGAGGAGAAUGUCUACGAGAUGGAGAAUCCAAGUGAGCAUUAUUGCUCGGCCAGCAAGGGGCAGCAAGCCUGACUCCCUCUGGGGUGUCACCUUUUCCUGCUGUUGGUUUCAGCCCCCUCAUUGUUCACUUUGGCAUUCUCCUUUUCAAAACCGAUAAAUGACUGGUUUUGCAGGUUAUACCCUCAGCCUCCUAAGAGACUGUUUCCAUUUUCAAAAGAUAAUUAGCUCACUUGGAAACUCACCUGUGACCUAUGCUGAACUUAGACAUAUUAUUACUUCUGUUUUCUAGCUAGCAUGGCUCCCCAACCCAGAGACUGCAGACUGUGGGCAUUAGAGCUCAGAAGUGCCUUUAUACAGGUUGAGAAGUUUUGGUUUUGAUACUAGGGAUUGAACCCAGGUUCCUGGCCUUAAAAAUAUUUUUUGUAAAAUUUUAUUUUGAGACAGAUUGUUGCUAAGUCAGUAAAUUUCCCAGGCUGGGUUCAAGCUCACCAUCCUUCCACCUCCGUCUCCCAGAACGCUGCUAUAAAAGGCAUAGGCCACAUGCCUGACUAGGAAUUCUUGAUAGAGGUCGCUGGAGCUCCAGGCAGGUCAGGGCUAUGAUAUGUCUACAAAGCUCCUGAAAAUAAGGAGAAUUGUAUGCUGAGAUACAUGCAUGUCUUUUUGAUAUAAAAAUGCAAAGGGGCCACUAACUUUCAUAAAAUCUGUGAUCCUUAAAAGGUUAAGCAGGACUAGAUCGGGACUACGUGAUCGUAAAAGUUCUUUUUGAGUCUCAAAGCUCACUCGUCUUUGAAUGCUGGGUCUCCUUCAGUGAGCACCUCUGCCCAGCUCUUUCCUGCCUCCUUUGGGAAGCAUGCUCAGCAGGUCUGAGGUGUGGACAGAGCUCCUGGGGACGAGGAAGCAGUCUUCAUGCUUGUGGCCAUGUUUGCUUGUGUCCUCGUGGGGAAAUACCUCUGACCAACUUCCCCAUUCAUGGAGAGAACUGGAGCUGUGCUCUCCUCCCCUCCCCUCCCCUCCCCUUCUCCCCUCUCUUUUCUUCCACCUUUCUUUUCUGUUUUAGGUACUGGGGAUCAAACUCGGGUCCUUGCGCUUGAGGGGCAGGCGGUGGAACCCGUGAGCUACAUCCCUGGCCCUCCACCUAUCUUUUUGUGGAAAAGUUGUGUUUUUCACUGAAGAACCCCAGUGGCCAAAACCAUAUUUUUUCCUGGUGGAAGAGGGCAGAGGCCUCCAGGAAUCCGUACUGUCAUCGGGGUCGGUUCCCUUGGUGGGAGACAGUGGUCCCGAAGUGUGAAUCCCAAGAUGACAGAACUAGGUUUGUCUGCUUAUUGCUGACUCCCAG